CCCGCUGAACUUAAGCAUAUCAAUAAGCGGAGGAAAAGAAACUAACAAGGAUUCCCCUAGUAACUGCGAGUGAAGCGGGAAAAGCUCAAAUUUAAAAUCUGGCGGUCUUUCGGCCUGUCCGAGUUGUAAUCUGGAGAAGCGUUUAUCCGCGUUGGACCGUGUACAAGUCUUCUGGAAGGGAGCGUCAUAGAGGGUGAGAAUCCCGUCUUUGACACGGACUGCCAGGGCAUUGUGAUGCGCUCUCGAAGAGUCGAGUUGUUUGGGAAUGCAGCUCAAAAUGGGUGGUAAAUUCCAUCUAAAGCUAAAUAUUGGGGAGAGACCGAUAGCGAACAAGUACCGUGAGGGAAAGAUGAAAAGAACUUUGGAAAGAGAGUUAAACAGUACGUGAAAUUGCUGAAAGGGAAACGCUUGAAGUCAGUCGCGUCGUUCAGGACUCAGCCUUGCUUUUGCUUGGUGUACUUCCUGUUCGAUGGGUCAGCAUCAAUUUUGGUCGGUGGAUAAAGGCUUAGAGAAUGUGGCAUCUUCGGGUGUGUUAUAGCUCUGGGUCGCAUACAUCGGCUGGGAUUGAGGAACUCAGCACGCCGCAAGGCCGGGUACUUGUACUACGUACGUGCUUAGGAUGCUGGCAUAAUGGCUUUAAUCGACCCGUCUUGAAACACGG
Molecule: ribosomal RNA, 661 nt
Filed under: uncultured fungus
Lineage: Eukaryota; Fungi
Description: eukaryotic LSU rRNA
Rfam family: Eukaryotic large subunit ribosomal RNA
Source: RNAcentral